Cyanistes caeruleus (blue tit) is the source of this 381-nucleotide non-coding RNA. The record is from RefSeq and is a predicted model, not a curated record. Lineage: Eukaryota; Metazoa; Chordata; Aves; Passeriformes; Paridae.
AAAAAAUAAAUAACCGGAGGAAAUACCCGGAGAGGGAAGACUUUAACUAGUGACACGCAGAUGUGCGAGUCCCUAAAUUGUAUGAGAGGACAGUCCACCCCGCUUUCAGGCAAGUUUAAAAACAUGACUUCGGACUCUCUUUGUGAUUGUUGUCGCUCCACUUAAUACAGCACCUCAGCGAAGAGCACUAACGACGAGGCAAUACGCCACCUGCAUGCAAUUAAAACGAGAAACCACUUGGCGGGCUGCUUUUCUUAAUUUCCCCCCCUCCGCCCCCCGUGCGAGUUAGGGAUACACAUGAACAUUUUUGCCUUGAGACUGCUAUAGGCGACCCCCGUGGGAUACCGCUCUAUCAGCCCACCAUGCAGAACAGUAAGUGAC